Molecule: RNA transcript, 2747 nt
Organism: Cryptomeria japonica (Japanese cedar)
Lineage: Eukaryota; Viridiplantae; Streptophyta; Pinopsida; Cupressales; Cupressaceae
Gene name: alpha pinene synthase, chloroplastic
Exons: 3
Source: RefSeq, a predicted model, not a curated record
GUUUGAAAAGUUAGCGUUUUACAAGCACAGAAAGAAUAGGUGGAAUUGAGGCAUUAAAUACCCAUCAAGCUUUUGCAUCUCUGAAAUCAAUCUGAGAAUGGCUUCCAUCUCUCUUUCUCGUUUCACUCUGGUAUUUUCAUUUCUCAACAACCCAUCCACACAGAAAGCCAGGACUUCUCAAUACAUGUAUAUAAACAUCUAAGUAAUGAGCCAGUAAUGAGCUUAAGAUGUUUGCUCAUGUGUUUAAUACUUUGCAACGCUUCACCCACUCAACAAUCUACUGUGUGGCGCAGAAACAAUCAUCACCCCAACUUGGGGGAAGAUGAUUUCAUCGACUCCCUUCCAAAAGCUCACAACGGUCCUUGUUAUGUAGAACGUGCAGAGAAACUGAUUAGGGAAGUGGAGGAGAUGUCCAAUGGAGAUGCCCAGGAACGCCUUUCCAUGGUGGAGAACGUUGAACGCCUUGGAAUAGAUCGGCAUAUCCAAAAGGAAACAAAGAAAGCCCUUGAUUAUGUUUGCAGGUUUGUUUCUUAGAACAGAUCCAUCAAUCAUCAGGAUAAAGAGAGUCAAAAGAGAGUCAAAGAAAUCAUAUUAUAAUUUAUUUUUUUGCUUUCUUUAUUAUGAUGAUGAAUCUGUUUUAAGAAACAAACCAGUAAACAUAAUAAAGGGCUUCCCUUAUUUUGUUUUGAAAAUAUUGAUCUAUUCUAAAAUAUGAUCCGAAAUAUUGAUGCAAAAAUCUUGAACACAAUUAAAUUCAGAAACAGCAUUCUUUUUAUGAAAAUCUCUUUAUCAUAAACUUCUCCUAACUAAAUCUUGAAGCAGGUAGUGGAAUGACAAAGGCAUAAAGGAGGCACUUUGAAUUCUUCACUGUACACAUACGUCGACUUUUCUUGUACGGGUACUUUGGAUGUUGUCUCAUGUAUGCCCCUGCCUACUAGUAAGCAUAGCUUUUCUUGUGUGGCGAGAUCUACAGCUUUCUCCAAGGGUGUUCAUCCUCUCCCCUGUGCCAAGUCAUCCCCUAUGGUUGUCUUUGGGCAGGAUGUUGUGGACAACAUAGGGUUCUAUCAACAUUGUGCCCUUGUGUGCAAAUUCUCUAGGCUCUAGCCCUCCCUACUAGACCUACAUUGUUGGGUAAGUGACUCAUGGAAACCCUUGGUUGCUUCCAAUGUUGAGCUCUUCCUGUAUGCUAAAGGCUUUCUCAUCACCUCCUUUACUUCCUUGACUGAUCGAGAUUUGAUUAUGGGGAAGUUGCGGGCUUGGGGUGCCCACCCUCUCUCUAUCAAGCCCUGGACCACUACCUUCAACCCUCUUACUAAACCACUUAACGUGCAUCCAAUUUGGGUUCGUCUCUCGAAUUUUCCCCUGCACUUUUGGGAACAAUCCUGCUAUGAGGCCAUUGGCAACUCCAUUGGUCACUUCCUGAUGGUGGACGAUGACACUUCCUCAAUGGGACAUUCCACCUUCACUCGCAUUUAGGUUGACAUUAAUGUUGCUUCUCCUCUCCCUAGAGAUGUGGUGCUCAUGGUUGGGGAUAGGCCUUGGACACAACCACUAAACUUUGAGGGUCUCCCCUUUCGCUGUCGGAAGUGUUUCUCUACUGGACAUUUGGCUUUGAACUGCUCUACUUCAUAUUGCAAGGGGGCUGCAACAUGGUGGAAGGAUGCUACACUGGAUCAUUUAACUAUUUACGCUUCAGAUGAACCUUCGAAAGGAUUGGAUGAAGAGUCACCUAGUAACCCUUCUAGCGUUCCUUUAGAUUCUGAGACCAUGCUGCCUUCGACGGCCCCUCAACGACCUUCUAUAGCUUCUCUGCAACAUCUAGAGGCUACUUGUGUUGCACCUGAUGUGGCACCUGUUCAUUCUUCUACGGCUCCCUUGGAGCCUAAUGAUGAUCUUUUUGGUCCUUGUUACAAGGAACCCCCUCUGAAUGAUUUCCCCCUUGUUGAUUUGAAGGAUAGAAUUGCAUGGACGAUUGUUCACCGUAGGUGGAAGGGGAGGUCCUCCCCCCUUCCCCAAACUCUCCCCAAUCAAGGUGUGGGUGUUUCCUCUCCUCCUUGAUUUGGGCUUGUGUUGUCUAUGUUUUUGCAGGGCCCUUUGUCCACCUGCCUAUCUGGGUCUAUGUUUUUGGUUGUUGAUAGUCUAUGACUAUGUUAAAGGAUUGACGCCCUAGUCAAUGCUACUUUGAAAUCAAAAACAUUAGAUACAAUUCUUCCAGAGAACAUUCUUCCAAAUUUUGAUUUUCCUUCAAAGUUACAUGAUAUUUCACACACGCCUUUCGAUUGAGCAAUGAUAUUGAUGCAUUCAAGGUUGAAGCUACUAGGGUUGAGGAAGCUUCUUGUGUAAGAUGCUAUAUGAGAGAUAACCCUAAUUCAACAAAAGAAGAAUCUUUGGAUUAUCUUAAAUCCUUCCAAGAUAAAUUAUUGAAAGAACUAAUGUGGGAAUAUUUUAAAAAGGAUGGUGUACCAACAUGUAGUUAACUUGUCAAGAGGUACUCAACUCUUUUACAAAGAGGGAGAUGGUUUUAGUGUUGCCACUAAAGAUAUAAGAGAACAUAUUUGAAAAAUAUUGGUUCAACCAAUUAAAAUGUAAGUUGGGAUAUUGUUGAUUAGGUUGUGAGGUGUGAAAAGCUAUAUUACAUGAGCUAAUAAUCUAUGUUAGUAUGAAUAUUGCUAGCUACGCUACCUAUUUACUAUAAAUUUAUUGUGUACUAAGUGAUGAAACUAAGAAUUUUAUUCUACUAGAUGUUU